This 900-nucleotide ribosomal RNA is filed under the name uncultured bacterium. Its description in RNAcentral is "bacterial SSU rRNA". It matches the Rfam family "Bacterial small subunit ribosomal RNA", at positions 1 to 901 of the family's 1533-position model. The record is from RNAcentral.
CCUUAGAGUUUGAUCCUGGCUCAGGAUGAACGCUAGCGACAGGCUUAACACAUGCAAGUCGAGGGGCAGCACAGGUAGCAAUACCGGGUGGCGACCGGCGCACGGGUGAGUAACGCGUAUGCAACUUACCUAUCAGAGGGGGAUAACCCGGCGAAAGUCGGACUAAUACCGCAUGAAGCAGGGGCCCCGCAUGGGGACAUUUGCUAAAGAUUCAUCGCUGAUAGAUAGGCAUGCGUUCCAUUAGGCAGUUGGCGGGGUAACGGCCCACCAAACCGACGAUGGAUAGGGGUUCUGAGAGGAAGGUCCCCCACAUUGGUACUGAGACACGGACCAAACUCCUACGGGAGGCAGCAGUGAGGAAUAUUGGUCAAUGGGCGUAAGCCUGAACCAGCCAAGUCGCGUGAGGGAUGAGGGUUCUAUGGAUCGUAAACCUCUUUUAUAAGGGAAUAAAGUGCGGGACGUGUCCCGUUUUGUAUGUACCUUAUGAAUAAGGAUCGGCUAACUCCGUGCCAGCAGCCGCGGUAAUACGGAGGAUCCGAGCGUUAUCCGGAUUUAUUGGGUUUAAAGGGUGCGUAGGCGGCCUUUUAAGUCAGCGGUGAAAGUCUGUGGCUCAACCAUAGAAUUGCCGUUGAAACUGGGGGGCUUGAGUAUGUUUGAGGCAGGCGGAAUGCGUGGUGUAGCGGUGAAAUGCUUAGAUAUCACGCAGAACCCCGAUUGCGAAGGCAGCCUGCCAAGCCAUGACUGACGCUGAUGCACGAAAGCGUGGGGAUCAAACAGGAUUAGAUACCCUGGUAGUCCACGCAGUAAACGAUGAUCACUAGCUGUUUGCGAUACAGUGUAAGCGGCACAGCGAAAGCGUUAAGUGAUCCACCUGGGGAGUACGCCGGCAACGGUGAAACU